CCCACCAUUUCUUCUAGAUGAACUAAGCUAUCAUUAUAUCAUAUCGUACAAAUUUUUCUAAUAAACCAAUAAUGAUGCUCUUUAAAUAGUGGGAAAGGAAGACUUAAAAAACCCCAAUUGGGUUUUAGAGGUUGACUUGUGUUUAUUAGUAGCUUCUUCAGCUAAGCUCAAUUGAAGUUUGUGUCUCAAUAAAACUUGAUGUGAAGAAGAAGAAGAGAUUAAUGGGUCUUUUGAAGCCUUCUUUGCUCUUUGUUUUGGUUCUUUUUGUUGUUCUUGCUUCAGAGAAAUCAUUGGCUGUUCAAGCUAGGUUUCUUUCCACUACUCAACAAAGAUAUGCGAAUGUUUUUGCAACUUUGGGACUUGUUUGCAAGUGUUGUGAUGGCCCUAAGGGAGAAUGCACAAGUAGCUGGACCAACUCUUGCUCCAAAGUCCAAUGCCUUCCUUGGAAACAAAAUUAUCAAUGAAAAUGUUCUCCUUUUGUUUUUGUGAUGCUGUACAUGUAUAUAUAAUAUCUAUACGAUAAUAUAUAUAAGUACCAGUAUAUUUACUGGUCAAUUAAAGAUUAUUAUUACAUAGAAACUAGUAGCUCUUUUUGUGUAUAUUGGUAUAAUUACAAGUUACAAGAGCUAUUGGUUUAUGUGGAGCUUUUUGGGGAAAUGAAGUAAUAUAUAGGUGGGUGUUUAUAUCUA
Molecule: long non-coding RNA, 689 nt
Organism: Humulus lupulus (European hop)
Lineage: Eukaryota; Viridiplantae; Streptophyta; Magnoliopsida; Rosales; Cannabaceae
Exons: 2
Source: RefSeq, a predicted model, not a curated record